This 301-nucleotide ribosomal RNA is filed under the name uncultured bacterium. RNAcentral describes it as "partial 16S ribosomal RNA". It matches the Rfam family "Bacterial small subunit ribosomal RNA", at positions 509 to 808 of the family's 1533-position model. The record is from RNAcentral.
CAGCAGCCGCGGUAAAACGGAGGGUGCAAGCGUUAUCCGGAUUUAUUGGGUUUAAAGGGUCCGUAGGCGGACUUAUAAGUCAGUGGUGAAGCCUGUCGCUUAACGAUAGAACUGCCAUUGAUACUGUAAGUCUUGAGUAUAUUUGAGGUAGCUGGAAUAAGUAGUGUAGCGGUGAAAUGCAUAGAUAUUACUUAGAACACCAAUUGCGAAGGCAGGUUACCAAGAUAUAACUGACGCUGAGGGACGAAAGCGUGGGUAGCGAACAGGAUUAGAUACCCCCGUAGUCCCUGUCUCUUAUACA